RNAcentral lists this ribosomal RNA (423 nucleotides) under uncultured Glomeraceae. RNAcentral describes it as "SSU rRNA". It matches the Rfam family "Eukaryotic small subunit ribosomal RNA", at positions 459 to 886 of the family's 1831-position model. The record is from RNAcentral. Lineage: Eukaryota; Fungi; Glomeromycota; Glomeromycetes; Glomerales; Glomeraceae.
GGGAGGUAGUGACAAUAAAUAACAAUACGGGGUUCUUUCGGAUUUCGUAAUUGGAAUGAGUACAAUUUAAAUCUCUUAACGAGGAACAAUUGGAGGGCAAGUCUGGUGCCAGCAGCCGCGGUAAUUCCAGCUCCAAUAGCGUAUAUUAAAGUUGUUGCAGUUAAAAAGCUCGUAGUUGAAUUUCGGGGUCAGCAGGUUGGUCGUGCCACUGGUAUGCACUGGCUUCGCUGAUUCCCCCUUUCUGAAGAACUGUAAUGCCAUUAAUUUGGUGUUGCAGGGAAACAGGACUGUUACUUUGAAAAAAUUAGAGUGUUUAAAGCAGGCUCACGCUUGAAUACAUUAGCAUGGAAUAAUGAAAUAGGACGUUUGAUUCUAUUUUGUUGGUUUCUAGGAUCGACGUAAUGAUUAAUAGGGAUAGUUGGG